RNAcentral lists this ribosomal RNA (592 nucleotides) under uncultured bacterium. Its description in RNAcentral is "bacterial SSU rRNA". It matches the Rfam family "Bacterial small subunit ribosomal RNA", at positions 338 to 944 of the family's 1533-position model. The record is from RNAcentral.
CCUACGGGAGGCAGCAGUGGGGAAUAUUGGACAAUGGGGGCAACCCUGAUCCAGCCAUGCCGCGUGAGUGAUGACGGCCUUAGGGUUGUAAAGCUCUUUUCUCCGGGACGAUAAUGACGGUACCGGAGGAAUAAGCCCCGGCUAACUUCGUGCCAGCAGCCGCGGUAAUACGAAGGGGGCUAGCGUUGCUCGGAAUCACUGGGCGUAAAGGGCGCGUAGGCGGCUGACUUAGUCGAGGGUGAAAGCCCGUGGCUCAACCACGGAAUGGCCUUCGAUACUGGUUGGCUUGAGACCGGAAGAGGACAGCGGAACUGCGAGUGUAGAGGUGAAAUUCGUAGAUAUUCGCAAGAACACCAGUGGCGAAGGCGGCUGUCUGGUCCGGUUCUGACGCUGAGGCGCGAAAGCGUGGGGAGCAAACAGGAUUAGAUACCCUGGCAGUCCACGCUGUAAACGAUGAAUGCUAGCCGUUGGUCUGCAUGCAGGUCAGUGGCGCCGCUAACGCAUUAAGCAUUCCGCCUGGGGAGUCGGUCGCAAGAUUAAAACUUAAAGUAGUAGUUGCGUGNGAGNGCGACGACGACGACGACGGAGGAGG